MicroRNA precursor from Caenorhabditis elegans, 109 nucleotides. Lineage: Eukaryota; Metazoa; Nematoda; Chromadorea; Rhabditida; Rhabditidae. The record is from Ensembl.
UUAAUUAUUUUUGGAGUGGAGCUGUAAAUGGUUGGAAUCUGGUAUAAUGGCUUCGAGACUUUUUAUACCAAUUUCUUACCAUUAGCAUCUACACUUUCAAAUCUAAAUC